This 407-nucleotide ribosomal RNA is filed under the name uncultured bacterium. RNAcentral's name for it is "partial 16S ribosomal RNA". It matches the Rfam family "Bacterial small subunit ribosomal RNA", at positions 30 to 526 of the family's 1533-position model. The record is from RNAcentral.
AUUGAACGCUGGCGGCAGGCCUAACACAUGCAAGUCGAGCGGAGUGGCGGACGGACGAGUAAUGCCUAGGAAUCUGCCUGGCAGUGGGGGAUAACGUCCGGAAACGGGCGCUAAUAUAGCACACUAUUAGAUGAGCCUAGGGAGGAUUAGCUAGCUGGUGGGGUAAAGGCCUACCAAGGCGACGAUCCGUAACGGGACUGAGAGGUUGACCAGUGAAACUGGAACUGGGACACGGGCCCAGCUCGUACGGUAGGCAGCAGUGGGGAAUAUUGGAGAAUGGGCGAAAGCCUGAUCCAGCCAUGCCGCGUGUUUGAGGAAGGUCUUCGGAUUGUAAAGCACUUUAAGUUGGGAGGCGUUACCAACAGAGUAAGCACCGGCUAACUUCGUGCCAGCAGCCGCGGUAAUGC